Long non-coding RNA from Mobula hypostoma (lesser devil ray), 356 nucleotides. RefSeq lists it as uncharacterized. The record is from RefSeq and is a predicted model, not a curated record. Lineage: Eukaryota; Metazoa; Chordata; Chondrichthyes; Myliobatiformes; Myliobatidae. The transcript has 3 exons.
CAGAUUGUAGAUUAACAAGGUGGCUCAGGAGGCGCUGAACAAUGUCCCGGUCGACUCUCUCGUCGAGGAACCUCCGCCUCGCAGGCAACGUCGCACGGGGGUUCCCGGUAGAUAUUAUCCGGUUAACGAUGCCCUUCCUAUCAAAGGGGUGACAAAACUGCCCACAAUACCCCAGGUCCAUCAUGGGUCAGAUGCCGUCCCCACCAUCUUGAAGACAGCUUCGAAAGGAGAUGACUCAAGAAGGAUUGUCACCUUGUCAUGGUGGAGAGGCUUUUGAGUUCCAGAGAUCCUGCGAGUGACACCAUCUGGAAUUUAGCCAUCUGGAACCUAGCUACUGGAAGUGCCAGCCAUGAUGG